Molecule: unclassified non-coding RNA, 270 nt
Filed under: Hevea brasiliensis (rubber tree)
Lineage: Eukaryota; Viridiplantae; Streptophyta; Magnoliopsida; Malpighiales; Euphorbiaceae
Source: RNAcentral
GUGUGUGUGUGUGUGUGUGUAAAUCAACUAUGCCGGCAUAUAUUAUAUCUCUAGAACAUCUGUCUAGGAAAAAGGAAAUGACUUGUGUAUGAACCCAAUAGAAAAAUCUCAUCUUCAUGCUAUCACUGUUAUGUUGACAUUGGAUUAUUAUUAUUUUUCAAGUGUGUUUGAAGUGUGAAUGGAACCUUUUAAAUUCUCUGAUUUCAUGCAGAAUGCAGCCUUACCCCUGCUUUGCAGAAAAGUUGUUUCCGUGUGUGUGUGUGUGUGUGU